UCUGUGUGUUUCACCAUCUCCCGGGGUUCAAAUCAUUUUUCAAGGUUCAAGGUUAAAGACUGAUGAUGUGUCACCACUAGAGAGCCUGCAAUAGAGACAAAAAGAAAUUCAUAUUUAUACUGAAAAUAAAAAAAACUACUAUUGCUGUUUCCAAAAAAUGUAUUCCAUGGCUGCUAUUCUAAACUUAAAUGGGGCGGUACAAUGGUGUUUCGUGUAUUCAGAGUUGUUCGCAGUGUUAAAGAUAUGGAUUCUCAUGCUAAACAUGGCCAAAGUUGAAAAUAAUAAUUUAGAAGAAUGACUGAGAAUUUCUGUCCGAAAAUCUUACUUCCGGGUAGGUACAAGUUUCGGCUGUUUUUUUUUUUUCGAUCGUGGAUCUAAUAACGUAGACGAGAACGGAAGUCCUUAUAUGAGCAUUUCUCCCGGAAAAGCGCGCAUGCGCACACAAAUUGACCAGAGGAGAGCGAGACCGCGCACAUUAACGUGCUUCAAAUUUGUAACGUGCUUGGAUUUGUUCGAGAAUGCCUCCAAAUAACUGCAUUUUUGGAUGUGAGGGAAAGUUUACUGUGUUCAGCUUCCCCAAGAAAACAGCGUUACAUGAACAGUGGAUGCAGUUUGUUUUUCCGCGGCAGCAACGGAGUGUAUCAAGUGCGUUUGUGUAUUCUGGUCAUUUGAGUGACGAAUGUUUUAUAAACAAGGCCCAAGUCGACGCUGGAUUUGCACAUCGUUUGUUAUUAAAAUAUGGAGCCAUCCCUGUGAUAAAAGACCCCAUUCAUAUCGCUAUCGAUCAUUCCUGGAAAGGAACAUGGCUCUCUCCAGAUAGAAAUCAAAGUGUGACAUCGCAAGACUCCUAUUUCCUCUUCCGAUGUCAGGUGGGAUUGAUUUUAUGGGCUUGAAGGUCUUUCUCACCAAAGAACGCUGGAAAAACUUUACAUCGUAAGACCAAAGACACAUCCUGGAGCUUCAAGUGUGCCUUUGCUUGCAUUACACAGGAAGUGUCUAAAGAUUCCCACCAUUAAAGCUGGAUUUUACAAAGCACCGCAGGUGAACGGGAGCAGAAUGUGUUUAAAACACCGAUACAGGGAAUGAUAAACUGAUUACAGUUGUUACAUGUUGUCAAUUUCUCACAAAUAUCUGCAAAUCACCUUGGACUGCCAAAAAUGACAGAUUGCAGCAUGCUCCAAUCUGUUUUUAAUUAUGUUCAAGAUCCACGGCAGGCUUGAUUUUAGAGAUUCAGUGGAGAAUGAAGACUGACAUGAAAGCAAUUUUCCAUGCUCUCUUCAUUAAAAUUGCUUUUUCUUCCCUUCCCUUGUCUCCUUCCAUUUUCCUCCUCGCUGUCUUCCUGUAAUCCCCCUUUCCUUCUGUCUUUUUUGUUUAGCCACAUGUUAGAGAGUUGCCUAAGGAUGCAGCAGUGUAAGGCAUCACAUACAUUAUGUGAAGCCUGGUCUAAAAUAUCUAUAUUAUAAUAUAAUAAUAUAUUAUGCCUCCUAAGAUAUUUUGUUUAAAAGACAAUGUUAGAUUGCAUUUCUAUAUAAAAACAACAACAACAAAAACUACUUUUUAAAAGAUCAUUCCAUGUCAGUUAUUCUUGUGGCAGGGCUAUUAUUUAUAGUUACAUCUGAGACUAAAAACUGACAUUUUAUUACUUGGAAGAAAAAAAAUGUAAUGUAAUAACUAAAUAAACUAGAACUAAUGUAUAAAUAAAGGAAAUAAUAUUCUAUACAAGCAGACAGUGAGGCUCAUUUCUAGCUGUUUUUAACAUUGCUACAACAUAGCAGAUGGUAUAAAAAAAACAUGACUUUGAACAAGCAUCCAAAUCGAAAAUAAAAACAGUUCAUCUCUGUGAUCUAAAAAGGCAUUGUUCUUCAUGCACUAGGGAGUUUUCCUCAUUAAUACAUGAUCAUAUUGUACUAAUUUCUGUGUAAAUCCCCACAAUCGUUCACCUGGAGGAAAACAAGACUAGCAGGGGGGAGAGGUCUGCCCCAGAGCACAUGCCUCCUGAUGACAUGCUCCCCAGAGGCCAUUAGGGAAUGAUAAGGGAAUAUUCUGUUUCCCUUGAUAGAGCCUUUAAAAUAUUCAGUGUGAGAGUCCUCGUUUGCACUCUUUCUUGCUCUCCUGUCUCUUUCUCUCUGGGUCCUUGUGGCUUUCUCCUCAUCAGUAAUAGAAUCCUGGUGUCAGUGCUGCAGCUCUCAGCAUGAGGCUAAUGAAGAGAUGGAGCUGUCACUGGGAGAGACCAGCCACCACAAAUGACAUACAUUGUUCACCCCCCAUCCAUAUAACACGGUACAGUCUGCAACAACCCACCCACCUUAAUACUCUCAACCGCUCCUGAACAGAGCCAGUGUCAUGCCAGACAGAACAUUACAGAUUUAGAAUCACAAUUGUUUAGCACAAAAAAUGUUCUUAAAAUUUGACAUUGACAUUUUAAAGGGUUCAUAAUGAUGUGAUUUAAAUUUUUCCUUACUCUUUGGAGUAUUACAAGCUCCAAUGUUAAUUAAGAAAAAGUUGCAUCUGUAAAGUUGCAAAGACCAAAGUCUCAAAUCCAAAUAGAUAUUGUUUAUGAAAGUUGACUUGUCCACGCCCUCCUAAAAUGGCUCAUUCUAACACGCCUCCACAUGUCUACAUCACUGUGUUGGAAGAUUUCCAUAACAAUGUCCAAAUGUUCACGCAAAGAAAGAAGGCGUAACUUUUUUUUAAUAUUUUUAUAUAUAUAUAUAUAUAUAUAUUAGUGAUUUUUUUUUUUUAAUCACAAAAUUUGAAAGCUUAGAAAGUUUUCAGUUCUAUUUCUUCACUGCUUGUCUUUAGUAAAUCCUGACAGUACUAUUUUAAUGCCAACACAAGCAGUUAGUAAAUCUGGCCAUUUGUUUCAUACCAAAAAACCUGCUUUGUCUCUCUGUCUGGAUGGAUGGAUGAAUGAAUAAAUGAACGGAGGAUGGAUAAAUGGAUUUGCGAAUAAAUUAAUUAAUUGAAGGAUCAAUGGAUUAAUUGAAAGAUACAUGGAUAGAUGGAUGAAUAUGAUGGUGGAUGAAUAAAUGAAUCAAAUGAUGGAUAGAUAUUAUAUAUGAUAUAUUUGGCUCAGGGUGUAUGAAACUUUAUUUCCCAGAAUGCAUUGCUUUUUUUCAGAUUGGAAUUCUAAAAAUUCCUCUUCCUGUCAUUCCAAUUCAGAUUUUGUGAGCAUGAACUAGUUUUAUCUCGAUUUCCAAUUUAAACUCUUUAGGGAAAACUCAAGCAGCUUAACAUUAGGUUCUCUACCAUUAAACACAAGCUUCAAUUACAAUCAAAUUUGGCACUGCUUUCCAUUUCCCUCUCUGAGCAAUGUAAAAUAAUCCUUACGACUUCAUAACAAAUUCAUAGUAUCAAGUACAGAACUCAUGCUCAGCAAUCAGACAGCAGAAGUCUUUACACUCUCUGGAAACAUGAUCUUGUGACCUUUAUUUGAGUUCAUAAUCUCCUAUCAUCGCUACGCUGCUGCUGACCUUAUGCAGAUGCCUCAUGGUUGACUCUAUACACCGCUCAAGGUAAGCCAAUAGACUGUACUGUAAUUAGAGCAUUACAUAUGCCACAAUGAAUGAUGUGCAGGUUACUAUGUUCGCACUUCACUCCAUAAUUUAGCAUGUUUAUAUUCUUGCAAAUUUGUGUGCAGUAGAUUUUGCUCACUUUCUGAAAAGAGAACAGGCAGGUCACUUUAUUCAGUGGAUUUGUGUUCAUAGUCAAAGCUUGUGUGUUAGCCAAACUGUCCUCUCCAGUGUGAAUUAAAAUAUAUUUAAGACAGUAUUUAUGCAUUUUUGUUGUACAUUUUCUGAUUAGCUAGGUACAGAGACAUUUAUAGUUACAAGAGUCAUUCUAAAAGAGGCUGAUUAGCACCUGCAUCAUGUUGAUGCUCAAAAUUCAUUAGAAAUUCAGAUUUCCGUGAUUAGUCAAGCACUUCUAUUAAUUCGCUAAAUAAUCCCAUUCUAUAUUAAUCCUCGCCUCAUGCUUAAAUAUCUCCCCAUCUAUCUUCGCCAAGCAUUUCAUUUGGAUUUCUGCAGGCUUAGAAGAGGUUGAUCCAUCAGUUUUACAAAUUGCAAGCAUUCAUCACGUUCAUUCAUGGAAAAAGUUUGCAAAAAAUUAGCAAUGGAUCGCUGAGCUAACUUUGAGAUUGACAGGAAAAUACAUGUUUACUUCUAAAAUAAUGUCUAAGCACCUAUGGCAAAUGUGUCCUUAGGGCCAUAAAAAGAACAUUAAAAACAAAAGUAAUGUCAAAAACUCAUACUCAUGUAGAAACAGGAAGUUGAAGCGGGACAUAUCAGGUACUUCAGGUGAAUUUUAAACAGACUAUACAUAUUUUUAGCCAUUAGUACAUACAGUAUAUAAUAGGUGAAGAAUUUUCAUUGCAUUGAACAACAACAGCUAUUUAAUGUGUCUAAACUUGUCAGAAUUACAAGCACAUCAGCCUCUCCUCAUUCUGACACUUGUACAAAUGCAAAUGUUCUUUUUCAAUCAGUUGAAAGUGAUUACCCACUACCUGCUCCUGACAUCCCAUAAUUACAGCAAGCCCUAUUAAGAAGAGCCAGACGCACAUCCAUAAUGGCGCAUGGGGAUCGGUCCAACUGUGAAGCGUUUUCCAAAGAGCAGGCCAAGUAAGGGUCUUUGUUGGAUUGCAGUCUUAAUUGCCGGACUCAUCAGUCAUCUCUAUUUUGGGUUCGCUCUAGUGUUAUUAGCAUAUUUACACAUCCAGGCAUUCAGCAUUUGCUGGCUACAUUGGCCCAACACCUUGACCCAAUGUUAUUUAUCCCUCGAUUUAAUACAAGUAAACAAUAUUAAUUUUUUUGUAUAUGUUUUUGAUGUCAAAAUAUGUUCAUUUAUAUCCUAGCCAUUUUUGAGUCACUCUUUC
RNAcentral lists this long non-coding RNA (4870 nucleotides) under Carassius auratus (goldfish). Its description in RNAcentral is "lncRNA (ENSCARG00000010642.1)". The record is from RNAcentral. Lineage: Eukaryota; Metazoa; Chordata; Actinopteri; Cypriniformes; Cyprinidae.